GAGACCAAAUUUUGUCUCGAGAGAGGGUUCGUCGAGGAAGAAGAUGAAGCCGACAGCUUCAUUUGCUCCGAUCCUACCAGCUCUACCAGCUCCUAGUGGAUUGAUCGGGAUCACUAGUAUAGACCUAGAUGAGAUCAAUGUGCAAGAAGUCAUCAUCGCAUUACCCUGAGGGUAGCUCUCCCUGUCACUUCAGAGCUCAUCCGGGUGGUGACUGCUCCACCCCUUCCUCGAGCCUCAUCUCUGGCC
RNAcentral lists this long non-coding RNA (246 nucleotides) under Elaeis guineensis (African oil palm). RNAcentral describes it as "long non-coding RNA (EGUI_LNC081628)". The record is from RNAcentral. Lineage: Eukaryota; Viridiplantae; Streptophyta; Magnoliopsida; Arecales; Arecaceae.